GUGAGGAAUAUUGGUCAAUGGACGAGAGUCUGAACCAGCCAAGUCGCGUGAAGGAAGACGGUUCUAUGAAUUGUAAACUUCUUUUGUGCAGGAAUAAAGUGGGUUACGUGUAACCUUUUGUAUGUACUGUACGAAUAAGGAUCGGCUAACUCCGUGCCAGCAGCCGCGGUAAUACGGAGGAUCCGAGCGUUAUCCGGAUUUAUUGGGUUUAAAGGGUGCGUAGGUGGAUUGAUAAGUCAGCGGUGAAAGUUUGCAGCUUAACUGUACAAUUGCCGUUGAAACUGUCGGUCUUGAGUGCAAAUGAGGUAGGCGGAAUGUGUUGUGUAGCGGUGAAAUGCUUAGAUAUAACACAGAACUCCGAUUGCGAAGGCAGCUUACUGGGAUGCAACUGACACUGAUGCACGAAAGCGUGGGUAUCAAACAGGAUUAGAUACCCCUGUAGUCC
RNAcentral lists this ribosomal RNA (445 nucleotides) under uncultured bacterium. RNAcentral describes it as "partial 16S ribosomal RNA". It matches the Rfam family "Bacterial small subunit ribosomal RNA", at positions 354 to 796 of the family's 1533-position model. The record is from RNAcentral.